Molecule: ribosomal RNA, 524 nt
Filed under: Bacillus cereus
Lineage: Bacteria; Bacillati; Bacillota; Bacilli; Caryophanales; Bacillaceae
Description: bacterial SSU rRNA
Rfam family: Bacterial small subunit ribosomal RNA
Source: RNAcentral
GGAUGAAGGCUUUCGGGUCGUAAAACUCUGUUGUUAGGGAAGAACAAGUGCUAGUUGAAUAAGCUGGCACCUUGACGGUACCUAACCAGAAAGCCACGGCUAACUACGUGCCAGCAGCCGCGGUAAUACGUAGGUGGCAAGCGUUAUCCGGAAUUAUUGGGCGUAAAGCGCGCGCAGGUGGUUUCUUAAGUCUGAUGUGAAAGCCCACGGCUCAACCGUGGAGGGUCAUUGGAAACUGGGAGACUUGAGUGCAGAAGAGGAAAGUGGAAUUCCAUGUGUAGCGGUGAAAUGCGUAGAGAUAUGGAGGAACACCAGUGGCGAAGGCGACUUUCUGGUCUGUAACUGACACUGAGGCGCGAAAGCGUGGGGAGCAAACAGGAUUAGAUACCCUGGUAGUCCACGCCGUAAACGAUGAGUGCUAAGUGUUAGAGGGUUUCCGCCCUUUANUGCUGAAGUUAACGCAUUAAGCACUCCGCCUGGGGAGUACGGCCGCAAGGCUGAAACUCAAAGGAAUUGACGGGGNG